RNAcentral lists this small RNA (178 nucleotides) under Gopherus agassizii (Agassiz's desert tortoise). Its description in RNAcentral is "TUC338 (ENSGAGG00000009813.1)". Lineage: Eukaryota; Metazoa; Chordata; Testudines; Testudinidae. The record is from RNAcentral.
UCAGCUCUGCAGACUGAAGUCCUCUGUUUAUCCACAGGGCAGAAAAAGCAUGGGCAACGGUAGUGUUAAUUCCCUGUACACCACCCCACCAAUGCCACCUCAGCUCUAACCUGAUCAGUCCCCCCUUGAUCAGUGCUUAAUUUGUGCCACAGCUUGCCAGGACUGAACCUCGACACCU